ACCAAAGGUGCAUUAAAACCAAAAACAAGAGAGAAAGAAAUAACAUCAAAACCUCAAAUAAAAAUAACACAAGACAACCUCUUAAUCGAUGAAAAAGCCCACCCGAAACACCAGGCAUGCCACCCCACAAAAAGAGAAACUGAAGAGAGGUAAACACAACCAUUUGGUAAACAAAGAGAGAAAUUGGCUGACCAACCCAUCUCUAAAACCUGUUGGAACAAAUUUAGUUAAUUCCAUAUCUAUUGAGUUUUAAUCAUAACAAAGUAUUUAUAGAAAAAUUGGGUAUUCUAACAUCUAUUCAAGUAUGCA
RNAcentral lists this long non-coding RNA (309 nucleotides) under Lathyrus oleraceus (garden pea). RNAcentral's name for it is "Pisum sativum (pea) long non-coding RNA (PSAT_LNC014608)". The record is from RNAcentral. Lineage: Eukaryota; Viridiplantae; Streptophyta; Magnoliopsida; Fabales; Fabaceae.